Molecule: ribosomal RNA, 335 nt
Filed under: uncultured bacterium
Lineage: Bacteria
Description: bacterial SSU rRNA
Rfam family: Bacterial small subunit ribosomal RNA
Source: RNAcentral
CACGCAGGCGGUCGUGUAAGUUUGGGGUUACAGCUCCCGGCUCAACUGGGAGAGCGCCUUGAAGACUGCAGGACUUGAGGGCCAGAGAGGGACACAGAAUUCCGGGUGUAGUGGUGAAAUGCGUAGAUAUCCGGAGGAAUACCAAAGGCGAAGGCAGUGUCCUGGCUGGUGUCUGACGCUCAGGUGCGAAAGCUAGGGGAGCGGAACGGGAUUAGACUACCCCGGUAGUCCCUAGCCGUAAACGAUGACCACUAGGUGUGCGGGGUAUCGACCCCCUGCGUGCCGGAGCUAACGUGAUAAGUGGUCCGCCUGGGGAGUACGGUCGCAAGAUUAAA